This is a long non-coding RNA of Oncorhynchus keta (chum salmon), 1663 nucleotides long. RefSeq lists it as uncharacterized. NCBI's taxonomy places the organism in Eukaryota, Metazoa, Chordata, Actinopteri, Salmoniformes, Salmonidae. The record is from RefSeq and is a predicted model, not a curated record. The transcript is spliced from 3 exons.
UCCCUCGUCACCUUCCCUGGUAAAGACUCCUCUCCCUCGUCACCUUCCCUGGUAAAGACUCAUCUCUUGCGAAGUAGAAAACAUGAAAAAAAUACUUGUCUUGCAUCCUAUUCCCUCUGUAGUGCACUACAUUUUGACCAGGGCCCAGAGGUAGUGCACUACGUUUUGACCAGGGCCCAGAGGUAGUGCACUACGUUUUGACCAGGGCCCAGAGGUACUGCACUACGUUUUGACCAGGGCCCAGAGGUAGUGCACUACGUUUUGACCAGGGCCCAGAGGUAGUGCACUACAUUUUGACCAGGGCCCAGAGGUACUGCACUACGUUUUGACCAGGGCUCAGAGGUACUGCACUACGUUUUGACCAGGGCCCAGAGGUACUGCACUACGUUUUGACCAGGGCCCAGAGGUACUGCACUACGUUUUGACCAGGCCCAGAGGUAGUGCACUACGUUUUGACCGGGGCCCAGAGGUAGUGCACUACGUUUUGACCAGGGCCCAGAGGUAGUGCACUACGUUUUGACCAGGGCCCAGAGGUACUGCACUACGUUUUGACCAGGGCCCAGAGGGUGCCAUUUGGGAUGCACCCUUGUCAAAAACACUGUUCCCUGAGCAUGGAAGGUUAUUAACUUGGAUAACAUCCAGAUUCCUUGUAAGUCUCUCUGGCUACUACAGAAAACUAAAAUCCCAUUUGGAAAACAAAGCAACGAGAAGACAGACAAAUAUCUAGUAUCUACCCAAACAUCCGGUAAGUAUUCAGUAUUUACAAAUAUACAACAAUGGUGGUCUUAACGUUUAAGAUGAGGGAGAACGAUAUUUUUUUUAAAUUAGCCUUAUUCCUAUUACAGUACAUCAGACGACUGUCAUUCAUAUUCUAUUGACCCAGCUCAAUGUAACAUCGAUUGAGUUAGGCUACUACACGAUACUCUAAUUUUCCCUAUACCCAUCAUGAGGUUAUUACCGUACAACCCAGCCUAUAAAUCAAAGUUUACAACGUAGGUGCUGCACACAGGUCAAGAGAAACAUUUGACUAAUCAAGGUGACAGAUAGUGACACAUUCAAUACCUCCUCGCAUACCUCCUUCCCUGCAUCUAGCUGAUCUAGGGUCAUAACAGUUGGGGGUCAAGGUUCAGUCUAGGGUCAUAACAGUUGGGGGUCAAGGUUCAGUCCAGGGUCAUAACAGUUGGGGGUCAAGGUUCAGUCUAGGGUCAUAACAGUUGGGGGUCUAGGUUCAGUCUAGGGUCAUAACAGUUGGGGGUCAAGGUUCAGUCUAGGGUCAUAACAGUUGGGGGUCAAGGUUCAGUCUAGGGUCAUAACAGAUGGGGGUCUAGGUUCAGUCUAGGGUCAUAACAGUUGGGGGUCAAGGUUCAGUCUAGGGUCAUAACAGUUGGGGGUCUAGGUUCAGUCUAGGGUCAUAACAGAUGGGGGUCUAGGUUCAGUCUAGGGUCAUAACAGUUGGGGGUCUAGGUUCAGUCUAGGGUCAUAACAGAUGGGGGUCAAGGUUCAGUCUAGGGUCAUAACAGAUGGGAGUCUAGGUUCAUACUAGGGUCAUAACAGAUGGGGGUCUCGGUUCAGUCUAGUGUGUAUAACAGAUGGGGUCUAGGUUCAGUCUAGGGUGUAUAACAGAUGGGAGUCUAGGUUCAGUCUAGGGUCAUAACAGAUGGGA